GAACAGAACUAUAGCAUGCUCUCAAUAAAUAAGGAUGAACGCGUGAUUGAAAUAAUUUUAAAAUCAAGACACGGAAAACUGAAGCUUAAAAAGGAAGAGAAGGACAUCAGAAAGUUGAUGGGUCAUCUCAGGCUGGCUGCAUGCCUCAGCUGAAGAUCCCAGCUCCUGUCAAUGCCACCUCUCUGCUUGACUGUCUCCUUCCAGAUUCGAGCAGGUAUGAGCUGGGAAGAAUGAAGGCAGGGCAUGCCCGUGUGCCAGCUCUGCACAGCUGGAUAGAUGAGGAAAGAUAUGGAGGAGAAGCCGGGGAUCAUCUGGAAGUCUAAGGGUGUUGUUUGCCCUUUGGGUUCCAGAAGAUGCAUGCCAGGACCCGGGGUGGCACUGCCAGGAAGCAACAGAGAGGAGAUAAAACUCACAGCAGACAGACUUGCCUUAACAACAACUCCCUUGAAUUAAAACACACUUUUCAAGAAAA
RNAcentral lists this non-coding RNA (472 nucleotides) under Pongo abelii (Sumatran orangutan). Lineage: Eukaryota; Metazoa; Chordata; Mammalia; Primates; Hominidae. The record is from RNAcentral.